RNAcentral lists this microRNA precursor (95 nucleotides) under Prunus persica (peach). RNAcentral describes it as "miR6269 stem-loop (ppe-MIR6269)". The record is from miRBase by way of RNAcentral. Lineage: Eukaryota; Viridiplantae; Streptophyta; Magnoliopsida; Rosales; Rosaceae.
CUUCAUAUCUUAUGUGAAUAGUGAUUGCCAUGGCAACGGGUGAAAACACGCAUUACUUUUUGCGAGGGCAGCCACUAUUCACAUAAAAGUAGCUG